RNAcentral lists this ribosomal RNA (406 nucleotides) under uncultured bacterium. RNAcentral's name for it is "partial 16S ribosomal RNA". It matches the Rfam family "Bacterial small subunit ribosomal RNA", at positions 30 to 526 of the family's 1533-position model. The record is from RNAcentral.
AUUGAACGCUGGCGGCAGGCCUAACACAUGCAAGUCGAACGAGUGGCGGACGGGUGAGUAAUGUCUGGGAAACUGCCUGAUGGAGGGGGAUAACUACUGGAAACGGUAGCUAAUACCGCAUACCAUCUGAUGUGCCCAGAUGGGAUUAGCUUGUUGGUGGGGUAACGGCUCACCAAGGCGACGAUCCCUCGCUGGUCUGAGAGGAUGACCAGACACAGUGGAAAUGAGACACGGGCCAGACUCCUACGGGAGGCAGAAGUGGGGAAUAUUGCACAAGGGGCGCAAGCCUGAUACAGCCAUGGCGCGUGUAUGAAGAAGGCCUUCGGGGUGUAAAGUACUUUAAGCGGGGAGGCGUUAAACGCAGAAGAAGCACCGGCUAACUCCGUGCCAGAAGCCGCGGUAAUAC